This 445-nucleotide ribosomal RNA is filed under the name uncultured Actinomycetales bacterium. Its description in RNAcentral is "bacterial SSU rRNA". It matches the Rfam family "Bacterial small subunit ribosomal RNA", at positions 338 to 795 of the family's 1533-position model. Lineage: Bacteria; Bacillati; Actinomycetota; Actinomycetes; Actinomycetales. The record is from RNAcentral.
CCUACGGGGGGCUGCAGUGGGGAAUAUUGCACAAUGGGCGAAAGCCUGAUGCAGCGACGCCGCGUGAGGGACGACGGCCUUCGGGUUGUAAACCUCUUUCAGCAGGGACGAAGCGAAAGUGACUGUACCUGCAGAAGAAGCACCGGCUAACUACGUGCCAGCAGCCGCGGUAAUACGUAGGGUGCAAGCGUUGUCCGGAUUUAUUGGGCGUAAAGAGCUCGUAGGCGGUUUGUCGCGUCGGAUGUGAAAACCUAUGGCUUAACCAUGGGCCUGCAUUCGAUACGGGCAAACUAGAGUUCGGUAGGGGAGACUGGAACUCCUGGUGUAGCGGUGAAAUGCGCAGAUAUCAGGAAGAACACCGGUGGCGAAGGCGGGUCUCUGGGCCGAUACUGACGCUGAGGAGCGAAAGCGUGGGGAGCAAACAGGAUUAGAUACCCGGGUAGUC